CGGCGUGCCUAACACAUGCAAGUCGAACGAGAAAGUGUGACUGUAGCAAUACAGUUGCACCAGUAAAGUGGCGAACGGGUGAGUAACACGUAGCUAACCUACCCUCGAGCGGGGAAUAACCCGGGGAAACCUGAGCUAAUACCGCAUAACAUUCCGGUGACUUAAGCCAUUGGGAUCAAAGGCCCGCAAGGGUCACUUGAGGAGUGGGGCUGCGGCCGAUUAGCUUGUUGGUGGGGUAAUGGCCUACCAAGGCAAUGAUCGGUAGCCGGCCUGAGAGGGCUGCACGGCCACACUGGCACUGAGAUACGGGCCAGACUCCUACGGGAGGCAGCAGUGGGGAAUUUUGCACAAUGCCCGAAAGGGUGAUGCAGCAACGCCGCGUGAGGGAUGAAGGCCCUCGGGUCGUAAACCUCUCGAUCGGGAAAAAUGGACGGGUGAAGAGCCCGNUCUGAUGGUUACCGGAUGAAGAAGCCCCGGGCAACUACGU
RNAcentral lists this ribosomal RNA (487 nucleotides) under uncultured bacterium. Its description in RNAcentral is "bacterial SSU rRNA". It matches the Rfam family "Bacterial small subunit ribosomal RNA", at positions 40 to 506 of the family's 1533-position model. The record is from RNAcentral.